Molecule: non-coding RNA, 99 nt
Filed under: Thalassiosira oceanica
Lineage: Eukaryota; Bacillariophyta; Thalassiosirophyceae; Thalassiosirales; Thalassiosiraceae
Source: RNAcentral
UAAGGUAACAAAGAAGAAAAGCAAGAGAGAGAAGAAGAGAUGAAAGACUGAGUUGGGAUAUAAAAUCUCUUAUUGCUUUCCAAUUUUUAUUCUUGUUUU